UCCCAAAAAAAAUAAAAAUGCGAAGAUAAGUCCUAUCUAAUCUAUACUAAUCCUAACUACGCUCCUCGGCUUUACCCAAUUCCUCGGGCCUUGUUCUCGAUCCGCCUUAGCCAACAUAGUUCGUCAGGGCAUUCCCCAGUGAAUAAAUAUAUACAGAUACUUCGGGACAUUUCCCGGCCAAAUAGUACAAUUGAUCCAAAAGUGAAAAAACAAAAACCCUUCAUUCCCCACUUCAACAUUCAACGCAUUCAAUCAACACACCACUUCUAACUUUUGCCUACCUGCACCUAACAUUUGCCUAUCCAACUCGGCCUAAAACAUGGUACUACCAUAUUCAAGAGAAUCAAUAAGUAUUUCCAAUUAAUUCAACCAAAUAAUCAAAAUUAAUCCGAUUCCGCUUUAUCAAGAUCAAUCAUUCCCCCAAAUUAUUAUCUAUUAAGCAAUCACUUAAUUCUCCAUCAAACAGACGUUCAACUCAAAUAAUCAAUCAAUACGAACGAAUACUUACGGUGAUUCAAACGUAUCGAAACCAAACUAGAACAAAGCUCGUGCACAUCAUUAAUUCUAUACAUAAGCAUCAAGUGAUGAAGAUUAAUCGAGAAAUAGGAUGAGAAAUGGACCUUUCGAGCUUGAAUUUUGAUGAUAGUAUGAGUUAAAAAAACCCGCGCCCAAAGCCCCGAGUAGACAACCUCGACUCCAAGUUCACCAGUCGACUAAAACCAGCUCCAAAAUAUCGAUACCCCCUAAACUAUGAGUUGAACAGGAAUCCAAAAACCCGCGGACAACCUAAAAGAAGACCGCGUCGAGACUACCGAGAGAGAACCGUAUAAUUCCAGCGUUACUUUGCCGGAAUCAAACCACGAACGAAAAAAACGAUGAUCCAAAUGGGGAUGAGACGCCGGAGCUCCGGUGAGCUCAACUAGCAUCCGAAAAAAAGGAAAAAUGGGUUAGAUCUCGACUAAUUUUUGGGUUGGAUUGAUGUUUUUCAGGAAAAUCUAGAUAGAUUUGAGCUGGUAUUGACGCGUUUCCAGCGAAUAUGUUGCCGAAAUAGUAACAAGACGAGAUUCUCAGCUCCUUCUUCAAUCCCGUAACCCCCUUUUCAAUCUACUCCAUUUUUCUUUUGUUUUUGAAUAUUCCAUGAGUGUAUGUGUGUGCGAGAUUCGUGUGUGGAGUGUUUCUGUGAGAUUUUUGUGCGUGAGAUUGUCUGUGUAUAUUGGUGAAUAAGAAGCAAAAAUGGAGGUCUUCCUUGCUCCUCUGUGAUGUGUGUCCUGGAAGAAGAUGGUGCCGGUGUGUAUUUAUAUCUCCCUUUUCUUUUUGGUAUUUUUGUGACUUUAUUCAAAAAAAAAAAGUGACAAAGGUGGAUUGGGAGGGGGAACGUGAACGGGUGAGGGGUAGGGGUAGGGGUAGGGUAGGUGGUGAUGUGUUGUUUUUUUAAUUGGAGAGGUAAGGGUUAGGUAUCUAUUUUUGAUUGGGUGGGUUGUUGGAAUCUUUAAAAUAAGAAAAAAUUAGUUAGGUUUGUUAAAUGGGAUAAAAACAAAAUAAAAACAAAUAAAUAGAUGACUAAAAGAUGAGGUGGUUAUUUAUUUUCUUGGGAAAAAAUUGUACAAAUGGGAUUAAAUUGUGUGAUAUUGGAAUAAGAAAUAUUAUUGACGGGAUAACAUUACGUGUCUACAUCAUGCCCCCUUUAAAUGUAAACACCUAGUGUUUUCAUACAAAGAAAUAGACAAUGAGACAGAAUUUUUUUCCGAUCAUUAUUCGAAUAAAGAAACUGAAGAAAGAAGGACAACCGAAUCUUGACGGACAUCCUACCGACCCAAGUUAUAAGGUAAUCAAGUGAUAGGUAUCUCAAAAGAUUGGAAGGAGAUGAACUAUACCGAGUUGGAGAGUCGAGUGAGGUCCCAUCGAGGUUCUGGUCCGCGGCUCUGUCAUUACAUCAAAAAUAAAAAUUACAAGUUAAAAACAUAAAUGGAAUUACAAAAAUCCUAUCUAUGCAGCUUCUAUUGGACUCUUGACUCGCUACUUCAUCACCCUAUUCUUCAGGCGGGCUCCUGAUUUGCAAUUUCUUCAACUUGUUAUCUGACUUUCAAUUGUUUCACUUCAUUUCUUAACUUUCAAUUUCCUCACCCUAUUCUUCAGGCGGGCUCCUGACUUGCUAUUUUUCAAUCUGCUAACUUUCAACUUUUCACGUUGUUGCUUUGUAUUCAACUUCUUCACCUUGUUACUUGACUUUCAACUUCUUCACUUUGUUGCUUGACUUUUCAUUUCUUCACCCUGUUCUCCAGCCAGGCUCCUGAAAUCACAUCAGAACUAAAAGGAAAAUUAUCCUAAACAAAGAUUAUUAUAAAGAGAUUUCAUUUUUUGAAAGUAAUGUCUCAUUCUUUGGGAGGGUCCUAAACAAAAGUAAAAUCUCAUUUUUUAGGAGUGUCCUGAACAGAAAGUAAAAUCCCAUUUUUCAGGAGGGUCCUGAGCCUAAAGUAAAUUUCCAUUUUUUAGGAUGAUCCUAAACAUAAAGUAAAAUUCCAUUUUUCAGAAGGGUCCUGAACAGAAAAUAAAAUCCCAUUUUCUAGAAGGGUCCUAAACAGAAAGUAAAUUCUUACUUUUCAGGAGGGUCCUGAACAAAAAGUAAAAUCCCAUUUUCCUGGAGGAUCCUGAAUAGAAAGUAAAAUCCUAUUUUUAGAAGGGUCCUGAACCUAAAGUAAAUUCUCAUUUUUCAGAAGGGUCCUGAACAGAAAGUAAAGUCCCAUUUUUCAGGAAGGUUCCGAACAGAAAGUAAUGUCUCAUUUUUUAGGAGGGUCCUGAACAGAAAGUAAAGUCCCAUUUUUCAGGAAGGUUCCGAACAGAAAGUAAUGUCUCAUUUUUUAGGAGGGUCCUGAACAGAAAGUAAAGUCCCAUUUUUCAGGAAGGUUCCGAACAGAAAGUAAUGUCUCAUUUUUUAGGAGGGUCCUGAACAGAAAGUAAAUUCCCAUUUUUUAGGAGGGUCCUGAACAAAAAGUAAAGUCCCAUUUUUCAGGAGGGUCCUGAACAAAAAGUAAAAUCCCAUUUUCCAGGAGGUUCCUGAACAGAAAGUAAAAUCUCAUUUUUCAGGAGGGUCCUGAACCUAAAGUAAAUUCUCAUUUUUCAGGAGGGUCCUGAACAUAAAGUGAAUUCCAUUUUUUAGGAGGGUCCUGAAAAGAAAGUAAAGUCCCAUUUUUCAGGAGGGUCCUGAACAGAAAGUAAAGUCCCAUUUUUCAGGAGGGUCCUGAACAUAAAGUAAAAUCCAAUUUUUCAAGAGGGUCCUGAACAGAAAGUAAAAUCUCAUUUUUCAAGAGGGUCCUGAACAGAAAGUAGAGUCCCAUUUUUUAAGAGGGUCCUGAAUGGAAAGUAAAGUCCCAUUUUUCAGGAGGAUCCUGAACAGAAAGUAAAGUAUCAAGAUAUUCUUUCCCAAUGAUAGCUAAAUUUAUUGAACAAAAACUUUGCCCCUAUUUCAUCAAAGAAAGAAAAAUUAUUCAGUUAACUUAGUGGUGGCUUGCAACACUUGGCUUUGCAAGCAUCUUCUCUAGUAGUUGUUCCUUUCAUCUUCGUUUCAAAUUGCUGACACUUGCCCUUGUCUUGCUUCAUCAUUGACCCAGACCAGAUCGGGGAAAUGCCUUUGACUCAAAUACCAAACUUCUAUUUUACCAUGCCUCUGAGAUGCACCUUUUGACAUCUGAUACUCUUAUGAAUCCAGCAACCUGUCGGUUGAUAGACUUCCUUUGCUUUGUGUUGAAUUACGAUCCUAUUUCUUUCAUAUGCUGGUCCUUGGCAUUUCCUCAUACAAUUGGAAAGACUGGUAGCAAGUUUUGAAAUUCUUUCUCGCUUGUUUUGACACAGACUUGACUUAAAAAUAUAAAAAAAAUGAUGGUGACUUUUAUUUUGAUAAAUGCCACAAAAAAACAAAGUAUGAAUACGUAAAUGAAAGAAAAGGGAAAUGUCCCUUAUUCAAAAAGAAAACUUAUCUGAAUACGGCAACCAACUCCAAUGAUCACGACAUGCAUUUUGGAUUAAGUUGUCUGAUCUUCCUAUCCAAACUUCCCAUUUGUUGUUGAGUUCAUGCCUUUGCCGCUGAGCCACUUCUUCAAAUCCAUUGGACUCAUAUAUCUCAUUCAAUUGACGGCAUCUUAAAAGACUUUUCCCAACUAAUCUCUUUUCUUUUCACUUUUCUCUCAAACUCGUCAUCGCCUUACGGUGCCGUUUUCACCUAUAAAACUCUCUCCUUUUUAUUUAUCUCAACUCCCCAUCGCCUUAUGGUGCCCGUAAGGGUUUUCAUUAGUAAGACUCUCUCAUUUUUAUUUCUCUCAACUCACUAUUGUCUUAUGGUGCCCAUGAGGGUUUUCACCAAUAAGACUCUCUCAUUUUUAUUUUUUUCCAGAUUUCUUAUGCUAAGGAAGACAAGUAGUACCCCACAAUGUAUCAUUACAUCCAUUGCAUGCUUAGCCUUAACAUUAUCAAAUAUUGAUCUGAAGGACUUUAUUUGGUUAUAAUUUGGCUUUUAGAUAAGGUUAGAAAGGGAUGGCAAGAGGCUCAAACGACACUUGAAGUGGGGGUGGGACUUACAACGUUUGGAAUUGACUCAAACAACACAUUAACUCAUGCCCCAGUUUUGUUGACUAGGUGAUUCUAAAAAUAUUUAUUUAGUUGGACCGAGCCCUGAAUAGGGCAGCCUACGUAUCUCACCCCUGAGAGAGGAGAAUCAGGUUGCACGUAGUUCCAUCAGCUUGUUCUUUGUUUUGAUUUGAUAUUUUUCUCUUUUUUUUUAAUUUUAGAACUCUUUCUUUUAUUCUUAUUUUUCUGACAUUUAUCUUUGACUCUAUUUUGAAGAGGGAUAUGAAAGAAAAAUAAAACUAAGCUCAAACGGGCAAACAAAGGAUGACACAAUGUUUGGAUAGAAGAAUAAAAUGUCUUCAUCAUAUCAAUCUUCAAAAAUGCAAGUACUAAACAUGCAAUAAAAUCAACAAAGGAUAAAAUAUCAUACAUAAUAUCAUUUGACCGCAUCAGCAUUGAUAGUCAUUUCUGCCAUUUUGCCUUCAAUAUCUGUCAAAAUAAGGCUGCAUUGAGCAACACUUUCUUCACAAUGAAGGGACCUUGCCAGUUUAGGGAGAACUUUCCUUUCGCUUCAACCUGGUGAGGAAGGAUACGCUUCAAUACCAACUGACCAACUUCAAAAUUCCUGGGUCAUACCUUUUUGUGAUAUGCUCGAGCCAUUCUCUUCUAAUACAAUUGGCCAUGACAUACCGACGUUAGCCUUUUUUCCUCAAUCAAACUCAAUUGUUCCAGUCGAGUUUUGACCCACUCAUCAUCAUCAAUCUCUGCUUCUACAAUGACUCGAAGAGACGAAAUUUCAACUUCUGUAGGGAUGACUGCUUCUGUCCCAUACAUUAAUAAAUAUGGAGUUGCCCCUGUUGAAGUGCGAACAGUAGUGCAAUAACCUAGAAAUGCUAACGGCAACUUCUCAUGCCAUUGUCUAAACCCUUGUACUAUUUUGCGCAGUAUCCUCUUAAUAUUCUUAUUGGCGGCUUCCACAGAGCCAUUAGCCUUCGGACGAUAUGGAGUGGAAUUUUGAUGUGUCAUCUUAAAUUGUUGACACACUUCUUGCAUCAAAUGACUAUUGAGAUUGGCAGCAUUAUCUGUAAUGGUCAUCUUAGGAAUUCCAAACCUACAAAUAAUGUUGGCAUGAACAAAAUCUACUACCGCCUUCUUUGUCAUUGACUUGAAAGUUACUGCUUCUACACAUUUUGUAAAGUAAUCAAUAGCCACCAAAAUGAAUCUAUGCCCAUUUGAUGCUUUCGGCUCAAUCGGCCCGAUCAAGUCCAUCCCUUAAGCUACGAAAGGCCACAGAGCAGACAUUGCGUGCAAUUCAGCGGGAGGAGAACGUAUCAGAUCACCGUGUACCUGACAUUGAUGACAUUUUUGAACAAAACAAAUGGAAUCCCUCUCCAUAGUAAGACAAUAAUAACCUGCUCUGAGAAUCUUCUUAGAUAAGACAUAACCGUUCAUAUGAGACGCGUAUACUCUAGAAUGAACUUCAACCCUGAUUAUCGAAGCUUUUUUUGCAUCAACACACCUCAAAAGUCCUAGAUCUGGGGUUCUCUUGUAUAAGAUUCCCCCACUUAAGAAAAAUCCACUAGCCAAAUGCCUAAGAGCCCUCUUUUGAUCAUUGGUGGCAUGUGUUGGGUAUUCUCCUAACUGGAUGUACUAUUUGAUAUCAAAGAACCAAGGUUCGCCAUCGAGCUCUUCUUCAACUACAUUACAAUAAGCGUGUUGAUCACGACUCUGUAUAUGCACUGGAUCGAUGUAGGCCUUAUCAGGGUAUUGGAGCAUUAAAGACAAAGUGGCCAAAGCAUCAGUAAUCUCAUUGCAAAUUCUUGGGAUAUGCCUAAACUUUGCAGACACAAACCGUUGACAUAGAUCCUUCAAGCAUUAUCGAUACGGUAUUAGAUUUAAAUCUCGUGUCUCCCAAUCACCUUGAAUCUGAUAGACGAGUAAAUUUGAAUCCCCCAACACUAAUAGUUCCUGGACUCCCAUAUCAACAGCUAGCCUCAAACCCAGAAUGCAAGCUUCAUAGUCCGCCAUGUUAUUAGUACAAUAAAAUCGAAGUUGUGUUGUUACCAAAAAAUGUUGCCCCACCUCAGAGAUAAGAACUGCACCUAUUUCGAUUCCUUUCAUGUUGACAGCUCCAUCGAAGAACAACUUCCAACCUGGAUCAGUAUCUAUAACGACUUCAUCGACACACAACACUUCUUCAUCAGGGGAAUAUGUCUUUAAUGGCUUGUACUCUGCAUCAAUGGGAUUCUCAGCAAGAUCAUCUGCCAAGGUUUGGGCUUUCAUGGCCGUUCGAGUCACAUAUACGAUCUCAAACCCGGUAAGCAAUAUUUGCCACUUUGCCAAACGGCCGGUCGGCAUAGGCUUCUGAAAGAUAUACUUCAAAGGAUCCAUGCAGGAGAUGAGAUAAGUAGUGUAGGAAGAAAGAUAGUGCUUUAACUUCUGUGCUAACCAAAUUAGGGCACAACACGUCCUUUCAAGAAGAGUGUACCUGGCCUCAAAUGUUGUGAACUUCUUGCUAAGAUAAUAAAUAGCCUGCUCUUUUUUGCCUGUGACAUCAUGUUGACCCAGGACACAACUGAAAGAAUUAUCCAUGAUCGAUAAAUAUAAGAUCAAAGGCCUACCAGGCUCUAGUGGUACCAGCACGGGCGGAUUUGCCAGAUAUCUUUUGAUUUUGUCGAACGCUUCCUGACAUUCUUCAGUCUACUCUACCGCAGCACUCUUUUUCAUCAACUUGAAAAUGGUAUCACACGUGGUUCUGAGUUGAGCAAUAAAUCUGCUGAUGUAGUUCAGUUUACCAAGCAAACUUAUCACCUCUGUCCUAUUCUUGGGCGGGGAGAAAUCCUGAAUGGCUUUGAUUUUUGAGGGAUCUAAUUCAAUUCCCCGACGGCUGACUACAAACCCUAAUAGCUUUCCAGACGGAACUCCAAACGCACAAUUUGCCGGGUUGAGCUUGAGAUUAUACCUGCGAAGCCUUUCAAAGAACUUUCUUAAACCUUUAACAUGGUUAGCCUAACUUUUUGACUUAAUAAUCACAUCAUCUACAUAGACCUUAAUCUCCUUAUGCAUCAUAUCAUGAAACAUAGUGGUCAUGGCUCUCGUGUAUGUUGCUCCAGCAUUCUUCAAACCAAAUGGCAUAACUCGAUAACAAUAGGUCCCCCAUGGUGUGAUAAAAGAUGUCUUCUCCGCAUCUUCAUCAUCCAUAAUAAUCUGGUGGUAUUCGGCAUAGCAAUCCACAAAAGAGGCAACCUCAUGUUUAGCGCAGUUGUCUAGCAAAAUAUGGAUGUUGGGCUGCGGAAAAUCAUAUUUCGGACUUGCUCUAUUCAAAUCACGGUAAUCAACACAUACUCAAAUUUUGCCAUCUUUCUUUGGGACAGGAACAACAUUGGAUAACCACGUAGGAUAACGAGCCACUCGAAUGACUUUGGCUUCAAGUUGUUUCAUGAUUUUCUCUUUGAUUUUAAUACUUACAUCAGUUUUAAACUUCCUCAACUUCUGUUUCACGAGGGGAUGUGGGAUCAAUUGGAAAUUUAUGAGCUACUAAUUCAGUGCUUAAACUAGGCAUAUCAUCAUAAGACCAUGCAAAAACAUCCUUAUAAUCAAUUAAUGCUUAAAUCAUUCCAUCUUUUUGCUGUGACAAAGCAUGUACACUGAUUUUAGUUUCCCUAAUAUCUUCUUGAUUCCCUGAUUGAUUGGCUCCGAUUCAUUCAAAUUAGGAUUUGGCUUGUCUUUACACUGUUCCAACUCUUUGCUUAUUUCCUCUAAUGCCUCUUGUUCAUCAUAUUCCUCCCUUGCUUCAUUAUAUCUUGAUUAGUUUGGAUUUUAAGAUCAGGCUGAAAAUUUUGCAUACAUGUCAUGUCAUUAGAAUCAGCAUAAAGAAAACAGUAUAAGGAAAAAGACAAUUGCAUUUCAUUAAAAGAGAAAGAUAGGAGGGUUUAAACACAAAUGAAAACAGAAUGUAAACAAGCUAAAUUCCGAAUUACAACCCUGGAAUAACUCGGAUAAAUAGAAAGAAAAAACAAAAUGAACUACCAAAACUCCCUCCUGAUGGGGGAGAGGAGUGACUUCCAUGUUGAGCUGGACCUCAGGACCUAUGAACUGCAUGCUUGCCUUACUGGUACCCUCUCCUGCUUCAACCAUCUCAACAUCAAUCAGCAGGUUUUGGAAGUCAUCAACCAAUUCAGCUUCAAAUUCUACAGGCUUCGUGACAUUGCUCUUGACAAAUGAUUCACUGAGUAGCGGCAUUGGGCGAGGGAGUUACCAUGUUUCCUUUUUCCUUCCCUUGGCCUUCUUCAGAUCUUCAGCCGUAGGUUCAAAUCCCAAACCAAAAGUGCCCAUGUUCUCAUUCGGACAUAUAGGAUGAACCAUACCGUGCAGAGACUCUCACAAACCCCUUCCUGGCUUGAAUCCAUAUUUUAACAUUGCAUUUAUCAUCAUAACAGAAGCGGGAAACAAUUAUGGCCCUGGAAUAACCUGCCCUUCAACGAUACGAUUCACCGACACUAUCAAAAGUUUGAUAGACAAAUAUCUCCUCUAUAUUGUUUGCUUCAAUAAGGGACAAGGGAGAAUCUUCGUAGGCAUACAAAUCCCCUUCACCAUGAAUAACCACUUCUUGCAUGUCAUGCUCAAACUUGAUCAUUUGGUGCAAUGUAGAUGCAACCGCCUUGGCCUUGUGGAUCCACAGUCUUCCCAACAACAGAUUGUAAAAGGAGUCUAUAUUCAAUACUUGAAACUCUAUGGCGAACUCAACAGGCCUUAUAAUCAACAUUAGUUCCAUUUCACCAAUGGAGUUUGAUUUUGAACCAUCGAAAGCCCUGACACAUACAUUGUUGGGCCUGAUCUUCAACAUCAAUAUUCAACUUUUGCAAAGUAGAAAUAGGACAGAUAUUUGUACCUGAACCUUCAUCAAUCAUGACAUAAGUGAUGUAGAAAUCUUCGCAUUUCACUGUAAUGUAAUGACCCCGAUUAUGCCCCGUACCUUCAACAGGCAAUUCAUCGUCAGAGAAGCUGAUCCGAUUGACCUCAAAAAAAUUUUCAACCAUUUUCUCAAGCUGAUUUACUGUAAUCUCCCUAGGAACAUAUGCUUCAUUUAAUACCUUCAAUAUAAUAUCACGAUGUUCCUUGGAAUGCAACAACAAAGAUAAAAGGGAAAUUUGAGCAGGGGUUCUCUUCAACUGAUCUAUUAUUGAAUACUCUGGCAACUUUAUCUUUUUCAAAAAUUCUUUGGCUUCUUCUUUGGUGAUAGGAUUUUUGAUAGAUGAAGGUCUACUCACAAUUGGCUUGGACUUCCUUAAACUUUCAGGCACGAAGCAUCUUCCUGACCGAGUCAAACCCCCUAUCUCAUCUACAUCUUCCACUACUUCCUUCCCCUGUUAGGUCAUCAUAGUCUGCUUAUAGUUCCAAGGAACCUUUUUUGUAUCAACUAUCGAAGGUUCGGUCACCGAUUUGAGGACAAUAGGAACUACCAGUGCUCCUUUCACCAUCAAGAUAGGCUUACCCGGAGCUCCUACCAUCGUCAACUUAGGUUUAUCCUGACUUAAAUCAAUGUAUCUUCUGGCACCUUGCACUGUGAUCACAGGUUUCUUUGUGCUUUCUUGGGCUUUAUCUUCUCCCAUUCCUUCCUGGCUUAAUGACAUUGCUUUCAACGACUCUGCUACAUUCAUCGAUUUUUUCUUAUUGGUCUNNNNNNNNNNNNNNNNNNNNUCCCAUCAUAUAUCAAUUCUAACAUAUUGGUUUCAGCAUGGGUUGGCAUCGGAUUUUGGUUAAUGUUUGGGACCUCCGGGGCUUGGACCAACAUCUGAUUUGUGUCAAUUAAAUCUUGGAUAGCUCUCUUUAAAUACCAGCAUUUCUCGAUAUCAUGGCUUGGCAUGUCAGAAUAAUAUGCACACCUUACAUAAUAAUCGAGAUUCCUCGGAGGUAGAUUUGAAAGCCUUCCUUGAAUUGGGCUUAAGACCUUCAUUUUCUCAACCUAUCAAACAAGCUAGCAUAUGACUCCCCAAGAGGUGUGAACUAAUUUUUGACAGCCUUCUCUUUCUUGUACUCGGGCCUAGGUUGGAAAUUGGGUCUGGAGGGGUUUUGGUAAUUUGGUAGAGCUGACAGACAAUUUUGUGGAGCUUGCGCACGCCAUUGCGGGUAAGAAUAGGUUUGGGCAUAUGGUUGUGCGUUAUAUACUGGGUAAGAAGGAGGUGGAAUGGCAUAUGGUGGGUUUUGCAGAGGGUAGUAAUGGUGGGGAGGAAUAUAUGGAGUUGCACAUAGGCUUAGGCUUGGGAUUAGGGAUAGGGGCAAGGCGGUCUUUUGGGAUAGGAAUAGGGUCUAGCAACAACGGUCGCCACAUCCUCUUCCUUCUUUUUACCUCCGAAUGCGCUAGAUCCACCUUGAAUCGCUUGUGUGGUGGCUUUUAAUGCAGCAAAACUCACUAUUCAGCCGGUCUUGAUUUCGUCCUCUAUUAUCUCUCCCAUUUUGAGGACUUCAAUAAAAGACUUUCCCAUUGCCGAAAGUAAAUAUUUAAAAUAGGUCUCAUCCUGUGACUGAAUGAAGAACUCUACCAGCUUACUUUCCUUCAUUGGAGGCUUUACCCUGGCGGCCUGUCCACCUUAUCGCGUAUUCCCUAAAUCCCUCAGUGCUUUUCUUCUUUAUGCUGACCAAGGAUUUUUCAUCAAGAAUCAGGUCGACAUUAUACUGAAAAUAUUGCACAAACUCGGAAGCUAAGUCAUCCCAGCUAUUCCACUUGUCGAUAUCUUGAUCGACAAACCAUUCUGAAGCCAGAUCGGAAAGACUCUCGCUAAAGAAAGCCAUAAGGAACUCUUCCCUUCCCCCUGCAGCCCUCAAUUGGUUGCAAUAAUGUCUCAAGUGUGCCACGGGAUCACCGUGCCCAGCAUACUUCUCAAACUUGGGCAUUUUAAAAUUGAGGGGAAAGUUGACGUCUGGGAACAUGCAAAGAUCUUUAAAAAAAACACUCUUAUAACCUCUGGUUCCCUGCAGAUUCCUCAUGGCCUGUUCCAAACUUUUCAAUUUCCACGCUAUGAACUCCUGUAGGAGCUUCAGGUAGUGGCAGAGCCACGAACAUAGGUAUUGUCGGUGGCGCCGGCUGAGUCACGGGCCUUAGUUGAGGAACUGGCAGGGGCACACUAGAAGUGCCAGGGUAAUAUUUUCGCGGAGUGAAUCCUGGUGCAUGCUUUGGUGACUCAAUGGGAACAGAGAAUUGCACCUGAGAGAGCGGUGGGCAAUUGGGGAUAUUCCCAAGAUCUUCAGGGAGUAGAGGAGGAGGCAUGCCACUAGCCCAUGCUUGGUGCAGAUCUAGCAAUUGUUGUCUAAGUCUCAAUACCUCAUCAUUGUGUUCUGAACUUUCUUCCAUGGGAUCCUAAUCUGGGUCAAGGAGUGAAUUUUCAAUCUCCCCACUAGCCAUGGCAAUCUUCUCUUUUGAUCUAGUUAAGUACAGGUGACUAGCCAGAGUGUUGUAAACCAACCACUUAUCUGAAAGAACAUGCUCAUCAAAGACAAAACCCGCUAGGAUUAGGUCACACAACAAGCAUGGGAAUCACAUUUGUAAAGUCGUCCUAGAUUCAUGUGUAUUUCUAUCAACCUUUGAAGGUAGCAAGGUCAUUGUAACAUCAUCCCGAUAUUUUUCCUACACCCAUUUUCUUCUUUACUCCAAUCACGCCUCUCUUUUUUUUUCUUUUUUUUCUUUUUUUUCACCAUCACUUCUCUCAUCUCUCGCGUCAGUCCCCUUUUUAUCCUUUUUUCCCUUCUCUCAUUAUUUUUCUUUCUUUUUCUCUCUCGCUGUCUCUCUUUUUAUCAUUCUUUAUGGUUUUUGUUUUUCCUUAAAAUAAAAGAAAAAUAAUGAAAAAAACCAAGAAACAAAAUGAUUAGAUCGAACCCAAAAGUAGGUUGCCCACGUAUCAUGUCGUACAUGAAUCAGAUCUUGCGUAGUUCGGGAGGUGCAUGCAUAAAUAUCACAAAGUUGAAGAUUUUUUUUUUGAUGAAAAAUAAACAAAAGAAAGAACAACGCAACGUCAGAACAUUUCAUAACAGAGACAACUAAAACAAACUUCGGAUUUAAGACAACUUUAAAACUAAACAACGAAAGCCAAACAACACUCUAGACCCACAGGACAACAUAUGUAUCUUUUCUAAUAAAGACUCUAAUGUUAAAACAAACUGGACAUCGACUUAAAAAAGACACAACAAAUACCAUGACAAAACAAAGGACUCAAAAAUAAAAGAGAUGAAGUGCUUCUUUAAACUACUGCGCUGCGUGAUGGCCCUGGCUAAGAUGGACCUGUUUGUGGAGUUCUCGCUCUCCUAUUCAAACUCUGUAACAUAUCCUACAAUGUAUCUUUGAUGCUUAGAAAGAAACUCCUAGCACGUAUUCCGGCCUCAUGAGGAGCACACCUGAAAAGACUGUUUUGACAUCCUUUCACAGUUAUAUGCAAACUUGAUAACUGAACUCUCAGUUCCUCCACUUUGGCCCCGUACUUUCGUCCUGACAGUCAUCAAUUAUACAUUCUUCCUGUAUUCUCCCUCUAAGUUGCGCUGGCAAUGGUCUACUGACACCCCGAGGAAUAAAUUGUAGCCAGAUUCCAUAUCUCGGAGUGUAUCCUGGAUUAUCCAAACCUGCUUUGAGAGAAUCUACGCCCAUUUUUGUUGCAUUAAGCCAGAAUUGCUCAUAUCUGAUUUUCCCUUUGGCUAUAUUCUUAAAAUACUCGACAUCCUUUUGAAGAUCCAUUAUUGGUGGAAUGUCUUGAAGUCUACCCAAUUGACGCAUUACCCUACUCGAACUGUAAGGUCUAGCGUAUUUGAGCCCAAUCAGAACAAGAAGAGGUUGCAUGCAACAUCCAGACAAGAUUACCUUCGGAUCGAGCCAACAAUAAGUCCACAGAAUAUUGUCAUGAGUUCUUGCUUCAAGAAAUUCGACCCAAGCAUUGACUCCUCUAGGCAACGAGAACUUAUCAAAGUGCAUUCUUUGUUCGAUGGCAUUCACUCGCUCGUUUAAAAAAUGAUCAAUCACAUCCGGUUUGACCAAAGAAGGACUGUACAAAUGUUCCAUCAUCCAUAAUUGUAGUAUCAAAUUGCUUCCUUAAAAAAAUUGCAGCCCUCCUUUUACCUCAGUCAAAGCCUUAUACAAUUCCACCAAAAUCAUAGGUACGAUAGUAACUCCAUCCUUUUUCUUGAACAAAGCCAUCUCUACUGAUUGUAAACGAGUGUUGAUAUGCCUUUAAUCUAACGGGAACACUAAAGUACCUAACAAUGCCAAACAAAAAACCUCAAGACGCCGUUUCUCCCAAUUCUUCUUGGUAGUACAAAAUAAAUCCCAAAAAUAAUCAAAACCAUCUGGAGACCCGAAUCUAGCAAAAAAAUAAUCUAAGGAAAUCCAAGAUUGUUUCAGGACCCUAGGUGAUCAUUAGCCUUCAAAGCACAAAGCUCGAGAAAUCUCCUGCUAGAAUGAUUCCGAGCUAGGAUUAACUUCUUACCGAUAUAUGGCAAAUGAAACAGACCGGAUAUUUCUGCCAAGGUAGGCGUUAUUUCACAACUCUCAAACCUAAACACCAAGCUGUCUACAUCCCAGAAGGUCGAUGCGGCCUCUAUUAGAUUUGGUCGGGGUGUGAUAUUCAAAAGCGAUGUAAGAUUGCCAAACAAUUUUUCUAUCUCAUGCCUUUUAGAAUAGUUGAGCAUACCCUACCAUUUGAUUAACUUUUUGGGCACCUUGAAAACUAUCAAGACUCUAGACCCUGUGGAUGGCUCCAUCCUGUAACAAUACACAGAAUUAUGACUCACGAUUUAAUAAGGGCAAGAGAAUUCCCGACCCUCGAGAUUCUGACACAAAGAAGUGUCACAUGACACAGGGACAAGCCAACCUAUAACUCAAAAUUGCUAAAUGGAAACGCUAAGAAGACUCAACCUAUCUAGCUAUGACCACUAACAAAUACUUGACUAAACAGAAAAUGGACCUUAACUAAACUAGGACAACAAUCGAACUUAAAAGAUUACCGAACCCACCGAGGGUUGCCUAUGUAUCCCGCCCUGAGAGAGGAGAAUCAGGUAUGCGUAGUUCAUCCAGAUUGGACCAUUAACGAUUAAAUGACAGACUGACCCUACCUUAAAUGACACAAACAAAGACCGGUGAAUAAAAUCUUUCUGGGUUUUUAAUUAGACACUUCAAAUAAAACUAACACCAAUAGCUAUGAAGGGAAAAAAACUUUUUGGUAUUUUCAUUAUAUAGAAUGUAUAAAACUACUAUCAUUUUUUGCAUCUUCUUUUAUACAAGUCUCCUAUUAAACAAAAGAUUUUUUUUGAAAAUUUUAAAUUAUGCAUGCUUGCUAAAGAGACAAAGAGAAAAUUUUUUUCUCUUUUUUUUUCGACAUAUGAGUGCAAAAGGUAAAAAAAAAAAAAUCUUUUUGAAUUUUGAAAAACAAAAGUCAUAAAGAACUAUAAAAACUACGACUCUGUUUUUCUUUUUGACUCACUCUCUUUCUUUUUCCUAUCUUUUUUUUUUUGAAAUGUUUUGUUUACACACCUUACUUCUAACACAUGCUUUCCCGAAAUCAGUCCAUCGAAUGACUAUAUUACCCUCAAAGAUGCAACAUUUAGCAGUAGUGAUGCUUUAGAAGUGAGUCUCCUAUAAAGGGCCACGCGGGUCCUGCUAGGUAUCGAUAUGAUGCAAAUAAGCAUGACCUAAAGGCUGACCUACACUGGGUUCACUAUCAAGGCUGUUCAGGGGAGCGUAUGGUCGACAGUGGCUGCGACAGCUUUCCACCCACUCCAUACGUCCGACGGUUCCCCCUCCUAAAAUAAAGGUGACUCAACUAGAGUUCGGGUACACGACGUGCACUCCGAGACUUGUUACAGAAAGAAUUGACUCGGGUUAUGCAAAUGAUGCCAGAUAUAAAGCAAUAACACGUAAAGAAAGACUGUAAUACAUAGCACGUAGGCACACAACAAUGAUAAAGUAAACACAAAAGAUAACACAAACAAUGUUUAUACACCCAUAAUGUCAAACUAAGCCGAUACAACUCAAAAAAAAAAAUAAACUCGAAUUCUAAAAAGUCCCCAGCAAAGUCGCCAGAGAUGUCACACCCCCUUUUUAACUCCAAAAAAGAUUCGUUUUAAGUUCGAAAGGGUUUUCAUUAUUAAAGUGACAAAAAUGAAGAUUGAUUAGAAAAAGGAUUAUUUAUAUUCUAAACUCAGAGUCGCCACUUGGCAUAAAUCGGGUGUGCCAAGUCACCCUUGGAUAUCCUUUUUCAAAACGAUUUUAACUCUAUAAAAUUGAUCCACGAAUAGAGAUUCCGACUAAGGAAUUUUAUUGACCGGGGGGAAGGUGUUAGGCACUCCUCGAUCCCGUGAUUCGACCACGGUCGCUUGGUGGAUCAUAUCGGCUAAUUUAACACUACGAAUGUAUAAACCACACAAAGCACACAAAACAAUCAAGCAAGCAAAACAAAACAAAAAAAAUCCAAAAUUUAGUGUCUAGUCCAAUUAUACAGUCCGAAAAUAAAUAAAAAUGUGAAAAUAAGUCCUAUCUAAUCUAUACUAAUCCUAACUACGCUCCUUGGCUUUACUUGAUGCCUUGGGCCUUGUUCUCGAUCCGCCUUCGUCAACAUAGUACGUCAGGGCAUUCCCCGGUGAAUAAAUAUAAACAGAUACUUCGGGGCAUUCCCCAGCCAAAUAGUACAAUUGAUCCAAAAGUGAUAAAACAAAAACCCUUCAUCCCCUACUUCAACAUUCAACGCAUUCAAUCAACACAUCACUUCUAACUUUUGCCUACCCGCACCUAACAUUUUCCUAUCCAACUCAAGCUAAAACAUGGUACUACCAUAUUCGAGAGAAUCAAUAAGUAUUUCCAAUUAAUUCAACCAACUAACCGAAAUUAAUCUGAUUCCGCUUUAGCAAGAUCAAUCCCUCCCCCAAAUUAUUAUCUAUUAAGCAAUCACUUAAUUCUCCAUCAAACAGACGUUCAACUCAAACAAUCAAUCAACACCAACGAAUACUUACGGUGAUUCAAAUGUAUCGAAACCAAACUAGAACAAAGCUCGUGCACAUCAUUAAUUCAACACAUAAACAUCAAGUGAUGAAGAUUAAUCGAGAAAUAGGAUGAGAAAUGGACCUUUCGAGAUUGACUUUUGAUGAUAAUAUGAGUUAAAGAAAUUCGCGCUCGAAGCCCCAAGUAGACAACCUCAACUCCAAGUUCACCAGUCGACUAAAACCAGCUUCAAAAUAUCGAUACCCCCUAAACUAUGAGUUGAACAGGAAUCCAAAAACCCACGGACAACCCAAACGAAGACCGCGUCGAUACUACCAAGAGAGAACCAUAUAAUUCCAGCGUGACUUUGCCGGAAUCAAACCACGAACGAACAGAACGGCGAUCCGAACGGGGACGAGACACCGGAGCUCCGGUGAGCUCAACUAGCAUCCGAGAAAAAGGGGAAAAUGGGUCGGAUCUCGACUAGUUUUUGGGUUGGAUAGACAUUUUUCAGGCGAAUCUGGGCAGAUUUGAGCUGGUAUAGAUGCGUUUCCAGCGAAUAUGUUGCCGGAACAAUAACGAGAUGAGAUUCUCAGCUCCCUCUUCAAUCCCGUAACCCUCUUUUCAAUCUACUCCAUUUUUCUUUUGUUUUUGAAUAUUCCGUGAGUGUAUGUGUGUGCGAGAUUCAUGUCUGGAGUGUUUCUGUGAGGUUUUUGUGCGUGAGAUUUUCUGUGUAUAUUGGUGAAUAAGAAGCGAAAAUGGAGGUCUCCCUUGCUCCUCUGUGAUGUGUGUCCAGGAAGAAGAUGAUGCCAGUGUGUAUUUAUAUCUCCCUUUUCUUUUUGGUCUUUUUGUGACUUUAUUCAAAAAAAAAAAAAAAAACGUUACAAAGGUGGGUUGGGAGGGGGCACGUGAACGGGUGAGGGGGUAGGGGUAGGGUAGGUGGUGAUGUAUUGUUUUUUUAAUUGGAAGGGUAAGGGUUAGGUGUCUAUUUUUGAUUGGGUGGGUUGUUGGAAUCUUUAAAAUAAGAAAAAAUUAGUUAGGUUUGUUAAAUGGGAUAAAAACAAAAUAAAAAUAAAUAAAUAGAUGAAUAAAAGAUGAGGUGGUUAUUUA
This 17623-nucleotide long non-coding RNA is filed under the name Capsicum annuum. RNAcentral's name for it is "long non-coding RNA (CANN_LNC021874)". Lineage: Eukaryota; Viridiplantae; Streptophyta; Magnoliopsida; Solanales; Solanaceae. The record is from RNAcentral.